Molecule: long non-coding RNA, 1399 nt
Filed under: Homo sapiens (human)
Lineage: Eukaryota; Metazoa; Chordata; Mammalia; Primates; Hominidae
Description: long intergenic non-protein coding RNA 158
Source: RNAcentral
GACUUCAUCAGGCACUGCUAUCAUGGGGCACUGGUAACAAAUAAAUAUCACUUUGGAGGCCAUGUGCAGAUCAGAUUUGGAAGUGACCAAGACUGGAGGCAGGGACACCAGAGUUUUCUGUUAAAAACUGGUCCAUGCAAGAAAAGAUGACUCCUGAAAUAAGACAGUGAUCAUUAGGAUGAAGAGGAAGAGAAGAUUUGAGGAAUACUUAGAACAGAAUUUACUGAAUUUACUGGUUGAAUUGAAUGUGAAGAGGAGAUGAAUAAAGAAGAAAACACCCUCAAAGGAACAAAUAUGAAACAAUCUCUGGAAAAUGGAAUUUGAUUUUGAUUCAACAACAGGAGAAUUCUACUGUUUUUCUCCAGCAGCUCCACGAUAAAAGGGAACCCUGAGCAGAACACAUGCACAAACUCAUGCCAUACCCUAAGGGACAAGGUUCCCCACAUCUACUUGGAAAUCUUUGGGAUGCUCAAUGAUUAGCUCUUUGGAACUGAGAGAUGAGAUGAGGCCUGGAAAACUUCCCCCAGUACAGUCAAGUUCCUGUUGACUAAUUCUGUGACCACCAGUGACAGUCUUUGAGUCCGUGAGGCAGAGUUGCGGCAGCACAGGCUUUGCUUGGAGUUGGAUGGUUCGCACCCUGCUUGGCAUGGUUUCUAAGAGACAUCCUCUGAGUGGAUGAGGGGAGAAUCCAGCAGGCCUCUAGUCACACUGGACAGUUGCUCUGAUUCAUUUCUGGACUUCAGUGGAAGAAGCAGCCCUUAUUUAGGAUAUUGUUAGUCUUUGGCAGAGGGAAUACAAAGCAAUGGAAGGGUGAUGUGAUGGCUCCGAAAGCUUCUGUUGGAUGUAGAAUAUAAAGUUUGCUCACCUUUUUUAAUCCAAAGAGAAAAACAAGGAGAGAAAAAUCUAAACCCAGCAGAAGAGAAAGUUUAAGAAAGCGGUCGUCGCCAAUACCAAAAUUAGCUAUGAUAUUCAGGAAGAAAAAAAUGGAAACACGAUAACCACAGUCAAUAAAGACCAAGGCCACAUUCCAUUGACCAGAGCUCAGCCACGCGCCACACCUGGCUAAAGAGACUCUGGCUGAAGAAUUCCCUGAAUAUUUUAAUGUAGCUCUAGGUUAUAACACAGAACAACCACAAGGUGGCAGAAGAACUCCAUUCUUGUAAAUCUCUUAGUUGCUUCUUUAUUUCAUCUUCCCUAUUCCAUCUAAUGUUCCCUGAAUUUUACUAUUUUGUUGGUUUGAAAAUAUGUGUGACUUACGUCCUUUAAAGGAUUUGGUUCGUAAGGUUUUGAAUAGACUGGAAUAUAAAACAUUUAUAGAAAAGAAAAAUACCUACAGUAUGAUGUUAGUGAACUAUUAAUAAUCCAAUUAAAUAAAAUAUAUUUGCUUUGGAUUAAUACA